GACGAACGCUGGCGGCGUGCCUAAUACAUGCAAGUCGAGCGGACAGACGGGAGCUUGCUCCCUGAUGUUAGCGGCGGACGGGUGAGUAACACGUGGGUAACCUGCCUGUAAGACUGGGAUAACUCCGGGAAACCGGGGCUAAUACCGGAUGGUUGUCUGAACCGCAUGGUUCAGACAUAAAAGGUGGCUUCGGCUACCACUUACAGAUGGACCCGCGGCGCCUUAGCUAGUUGGUGAGGUAACGGCCCACCAAAGCAACGAUGCGUAGCCGGCCCGGGGGGGUGGUCGGCCACCAUGGGAAUGGGAAACGGCCCAGACUCCUACGGGAGGCAGCAGUAGGGAAUCUUCCGCAAUGGACGGAAGGCUGACGGGGCAACGCCGGGGGGGGGAUGAAGGUUUUCGGAUCGUAAAGCUCUGUUGUUAGGGAAGAACAAGUGCCGUACAAAUAGGGCGGCGCCUUGACGGUACCUAACCAGAAAGCCACGGCUAACUACGUG
RNAcentral lists this ribosomal RNA (497 nucleotides) under uncultured bacterium. Its description in RNAcentral is "partial 16S ribosomal RNA". It matches the Rfam family "Bacterial small subunit ribosomal RNA", at positions 28 to 507 of the family's 1533-position model. The record is from RNAcentral.